CCUACGGGAGGCAGCAGUGAGGAAUAUUGGUCAAUGGCCGCAAGGCUGAACCAGCCAAGUCGCGUGAGGGAUGACGGUCCUAUGGAUUGUAAACCUCUUUUGUCAGGGAGCAAAGGGCGCCACGUGUGGCGCUUUGCUCGUACCGGAAGAAACAGCAUCGGCUAACUCCGUGCCAGCAGCCGCGGUAAUACGGAGGAUGCGAGCGUUAUCCGGAUUUAUUGGGUUUAAAGGGUGCGCAGGCGGAAUGUCAAGUCAGCGGUAAAAUUUCGGGGCUCAACCUCGGCGUGACGUGGAGACUGGCGUUCUUGAGUGAGCGAGAAGUAUGCGGAAUGCGUGGUGUAGCGGUGAAAUGCAUAGAUAUCACGAAGAACUCCGAGUGCGAAGGCAGCAUACCGGCGCUCAACUGACGCUCAUGCACGAAAGCGUGGGUAUCGAACAGGAUUAGAUACCCUUGUAGUC
This 459-nucleotide ribosomal RNA is filed under the name uncultured bacterium. Its description in RNAcentral is "partial 16S ribosomal RNA". It matches the Rfam family "Bacterial small subunit ribosomal RNA", at positions 338 to 795 of the family's 1533-position model. The record is from RNAcentral.